This is a long non-coding RNA of Planococcus citri (citrus mealybug), 526 nucleotides long. RefSeq lists it as uncharacterized. The transcript has 2 exons. Lineage: Eukaryota; Metazoa; Arthropoda; Insecta; Hemiptera; Pseudococcidae. The record is from RefSeq and is a predicted model, not a curated record.
AUAGUUGAAUGACAUUUUAUCUAACGUGGGAAGAAAUUGCGCAUUUGAUCAUUCGAGUGACUAAUAAUUUUUUUUAUAAUAGGCUUGUUUGGCAAACUUUCAUCUUUUUGCAUCUUUACUUUCGCCUCGUCGAAAACAUGCUCGAACCAUUCUCCGUUGAUUUUUUAUUAUUUUUUUGCAGAAAAAAUUCGGUUAUGUUAACAAGAUUCGAAUCAGGGAUGGGGAAACAACCAGGAGCAACAGAACUGAACAAAGAAUCGUUCUUAACGUGAUUUUUUUUCAAUUUCCUCAGAACGAGAACCGAGGCAAGAACCAAAAAGAUUCAGUAGCAAGAAUCCAAAAUAACCACAAAAAUAAAUUCAAUUUCAAGUUGAGACAUUUGGAAAAAAUUGAUUUCAACCUCAAACCUCUGGAUGAUGCGAUAAAUUGCUGAUUUGAUCGUCCAAAAAACUAGAAAUUUGCGAGUGCAAAAUAUCAAUUUUCGUCGUCGUUCUCAUGCUAGUAAAAAAUUAAUUUCAAGUGGAAA